CUCUUGUUCUUCGACAAUAGGUAACCUUACAAAGAUGAUACCUAUAGCUAGCUAGCAGCAGAUGCUUAUAAAAGGGCAGAGAUUAGAACUAUCUGUCACACUCAAUCAAAGUUAAACCUGUGGAAGAAGAAAGAAACGUUUCAGCAAAGAGGAAGGAAUGUCUUGGCAAGCCUGUGCUGGUUUCCUGGUGCUAGUCUCAGCAUUCUAUGCUGUAGCUGGAUACCAGAAUGAUUUCGGUGGCAACCUUUUCGUGGAUUGCCACAACAACCAAGCUAUUUAUGGAGUAGAAAGUUAUCAUGACAAUGGCAGAGAGGAUCGUCGCUGGCACUUUUCAUGUGUAAGAAUGUUGUGUCCUAUCCAUUCUCUUCUUGCUAUUGGACGGGAAACGUAAAUGAUUGGGACCUGCCCCUCUCGUUCAUGUGUAACGCCAAUUAUGUGAUGGCGGGAGUGGGAAGUUUCCAUGACAAUGGUCGGGAGGAUCGUCUGUGGAGGUUCAAGUGUUGCCAUGCUAGUGGCUACCAAACCAAGAAUUGCCGAUUGACCGGUCACAUCAACAACUGGGAUGCACAUAUGAAUUACCGUUCUUCCUCCGUUUUUGCUGGUCUUACUAGCUACCAUGACAAUGGCAGAGAAGAUCGUCUGUGGAAGGUUCUGGAGUGUGACUACCAGAAAUGAGAGAGCAAGCUAAAGGAGUGUGGAUCUAAAAUCAAUGAUAGUGAAACUGAUUAUAGAUAAAUAAUAGUCUAAACGAAUAGUAUAUUGCUCAGUCUGUCCACACGUACAGUACGUAUAUGAAGAAAUGGAUCAGUACAGUCAUGUAUACACAUUGUACAUUGCAUGUAAUGGAAUGUCAGAUCUCUAAUUUGUUCCUUGUUAGGUAUAAUUAGGCAGUCAAGUUUUCAUGGUACAAAAAGUACAUAUAAUAAUUACUUCACGGCAGGAACUUCACUAACAGUUACAUAGCUAAACCAAAACAAUAAUCGGAACCCUCUGCGCUCAGACUACGUGAUCCUAUUGGUAUAAAAAAGAAAUAUUAUAUCACUCACUUCAUACUAAGAAACAAGGAGCAUUGCGGAGCUAAUCACAAGAAGAAAAAGAGAAGAAAUUCUUUCACAAUGAACUGGCAAGCCUUUGUUGGACUGUUGCUUUUCGUCUCGGUGUUCUCUGCUGAGGGGUACCAGAAUAACUUCGACCAGCCACUGCACGUCGAUUGUCAAUCAAAAAAGGCUCUUUCUGGAGUCAGGAGCAUCUAUAGUACUCCCCACAGGGAUAGACGUUUUCAAUUCCUUUGCCAAAGCAUUACGUCUUACUCUUUCUCAAAAUGCUUCUGGACCGGGUAUGAGAAUCAAUGGGACCAGCCUCUCCUCUUCCAGUGUCCUACUGACCACGUGAUGUCCGGAGUGAAGAGUGUUCAUAACAAUCACAGAGAGGAUAGAUUGUGGCGGUUUAAGUGUUGCAAGGCUCCUUGCCAUCAAACGAAGAGUUGCGAGUUGUCUAAAUUCAUCAAUAGUUGGAGAGGACUCAUUAACUAUAAAGCUCCUGCUAACAAGGUGUUUGUGGGUGCCUUCAGCUAUCAUGACAACGGAAAAGAAGACCGUAGGUGGAAGAUGCUGCAGUGUGAAUAUAAGAAAGACAAGUAAAGCAAAGCCUGCAUGCCAACAACUUUUACAUGUAGUCUUUUACACAUAGUCUUUUACACAUAAACUAAACAGAUAAAUAAUUUCGUACAAACAGUAUAGACAAGUGUGUUUAACUGUAUAGCUGAAACUGUUGGGCACUCUCAGACAAAACUGAUUAUAUAAUUCCUUACAUGUG
Long non-coding RNA from Halichondria panicea, 1815 nucleotides. RefSeq lists it as uncharacterized. Lineage: Eukaryota; Metazoa; Porifera; Demospongiae; Suberitida; Halichondriidae. The record is from RefSeq and is a predicted model, not a curated record. The transcript is spliced from 5 exons.